CAGACAUGUUCACCCUGCUUGAGUUC
RNAcentral lists this non-coding RNA (26 nucleotides) under Homo sapiens (human). The record is from RNAcentral. Lineage: Eukaryota; Metazoa; Chordata; Mammalia; Primates; Hominidae.